Non-coding RNA from Cricetulus griseus (Chinese hamster), 405 nucleotides. The record is from the annotation of a RefSeq genome assembly. Lineage: Eukaryota; Metazoa; Chordata; Mammalia; Rodentia; Cricetidae.
AUGAAGAGCUCUGACUUACAAGUCCUCCUUCCCUGGGAAGCCGGCCUGGCAGAUGGGAAUCCACUCCUGAAAGUAGUCAUUUUCUCAUGCCUCUUGACUUUUGGACUUGGGAAUUUAGAGCAACCUGCAAUAUCGAUUUCCAGAACAAAAGAUGAGAGUGUCCAAAUAUCCUGUAAGGCUUCCAUCAACAGCUUUAAAAGUGUAGCCAUACACUGGUACCGGCAGAAACCCAAUCAAGGUUUAGAGUUUCUAUUAUAUGUCAUCGCAACUCCUACCCAUAUUCUCUUAGAUGAGAAGUACAAAAAAAUGGAGGCAAGUAAAAACUCUAGUGCUUCCACGUCGACAUUGACAAUAUAUUCCUUGAAGGAAGAUGAUGAAGCUAUCUAUUACUGCUCCUACGGCUAA